GGAGAAUUAGCUUAAUGGUAAAGCACUAUGAGGUUCAACAUACUGGUUCGACUCCAGAAAUUUGACGGUUCAGAGUGUACGAAGUAGAAGACGUUGGUUCGAAUCCAACAUUCUCCA
Molecule: transfer RNA, 117 nt
Filed under: Caudoviricetes sp.
Lineage: Duplodnaviria; Heunggongvirae; Uroviricota; Caudoviricetes
Description: tRNA-OTHER
Rfam family: tRNA
About the family: Transfer RNA (tRNA) molecules are approximately 80 nucleotides in length. Their secondary structure includes four short double-helical elements and three loops (D, anti-codon, and T loops). Further hydrogen bonds mediate the characteristic L-shaped molecular structure. tRNAs have two regions of fundamental functional importance: the anti-codon, which is responsible for specific mRNA codon recognition, and the 3' end, to which the tRNAs corresponding amino acid is attached (by aminoacyl-tRNA synthetases). tRNAs cope with the degeneracy of the genetic code in two manners: having more than one tRNA (with a specific anti-codon) for a particular amino acid; and 'wobble' base-pairing, i.e. permitting non-standard base-pairing at the 3rd anti-codon position.
Source: RNAcentral